GCUGACCAGCUAGCCAACACCCCUAGGCCACCCCACAACAGUCAGAAGCCUAACAGGACCCAAAAACUAAAAACAAACCAUUUUUCCAUCCUAGUAUGGGAGACAGAAAAGAAAAUUUGAGCAACAGAAAAAGUACCGCAAGGGAAAGCUGAAAGAGAAAUGAAAUAACCCAUUCAAGCAUGAAAAAACAGAGCUUUCACCUCGUACCUUUUGCAUCAUGAUUUAGCCAGUAAACUCAAGCAGAGAGCCCUUUAGUUUGAGCCCCCGAAACCAGACGAGCUACUCCGAGACAGCCUAUUUUAGGGCCAACCCGUCUCUGUGGCAAAAGAGUGGGAAGAGCUCCGAGUAGAGGUAAAAAACCUACCGAGUCUAGUUAUAGCUGGUUGCUUAGGAAAUGAAUAGAAGUUCAGCCCCCUAGAUUCUCAAACCCCCGGGGUCCCACCGACUACGGCCCCAGAAGCUAAGGAGGUUAGUCAGAGGAGGUACAGCUCCUCUGAACAAGGACACAACCUUUUUAGGCGGCUAAGGACCACAAUCUCUAAGGUAAGCUGUUUUAGUGGGCCUAAAAGCAGCCACCUAGGAAGAAAGCGUUAAAGCUCAGACAGCCCAAAACCUCUUAUUUUGCUACAAACUCCUACCCCCUAAUCCCUACUAAGCCAUCCCAUGCCCCCAUGGGAGAGCCAAUGCUAAAAUUAGUAAUAAGAGGAAGCGCUCCUCUCCCUGCACAUGUGUAAAUUGGAUUGGACCCUCCACCAACAAUUAACGAACCCAGAUCAAGAGGGAAGUUCGAACUUAAUCGAAAACAAGAAACACCCGAACUUUUUAUCGUUAACCCCACACAGGCGUGCUCCUGGGAAAGACAUAAAGGAAGAGAAGGAACUCGGCAAACCCUAGCCUCGCCUGUUUACCAAAAACAUCGCCUCUUGCAUAAAUAAGCAUAAGAGGUCCCGCCUGCCCUGUGACUUUACGUUUAACGGCCGCGGUAUUUUGACCGUGCGAAGGUAGCGCAAUCACUUGUCUUUUAAAUGAAGACCUGUAUGAAUGGCACGACGAGGGCUCGACUGUCUCCUCUCCCCAGUCAAUGAAAUUGAUUUUCCCGUGCAGAAGCGGGAGUACCCCCAUAAGACGAGAAGACCCUAUGGAGCUUUAGACACUAGGAAGCCCACAUUAACAAACCUGCCCCACCAGAAAGAACUCAGUGGCCCCUCUCCUAUUUGUCUUUGGUUGGGGCGACCGCGGAGGAAAAAACAGCCUCCAUGAGGACUAAGAGCACUGCUCUUACAGCCAAGACCCACUGCUCUAAGCAACAGAACUUCUGACCACAAUGAUCCGGCCUGCGCCGAUCAACGGACCGAGUUACCCUAGGGAUAACAGCGCAAUCCUCUCCCAGAGUCCCUAUCGACGAGGGGGUUUACGACCUCGAUGUUGGAUCAGGACAUCCUAAUGGUGCAGCCGCUAUUAAGGGUUCGUUUGUUCAACGACUAAAGUCCUACGUGAUCUGAGUUCAGACCGGAGUAAUCCAGGUCAGUUUCUAUCUAUGAAAUAGGCUUUCCUAGUACGAAAGGACCGGAAAGAAAGGGCCCAUGCUCCCAGCACGCCCUCCCUCCCCCCACUGAAAACAACUAAAGUGGAAAGGAGGCACACCAAGGCCGUGCCUUAAAGAACGGUAA
This 1670-nucleotide ribosomal RNA is filed under the name Astronesthes lucifer (Pacific snaggletooth). RNAcentral's name for it is "16S rRNA". It matches the Rfam family "Bacterial large subunit ribosomal RNA". The record is from RNAcentral. Lineage: Eukaryota; Metazoa; Chordata; Actinopteri; Stomiiformes; Stomiidae.